UUCUUAUUCCAUAAGUUUUGUGAAAGCCCCCAAGUAACUCCAGGAGAACCUAUCUAAUAAAAAUGUUUAGUGAUCCUAGCACUUGGAAGAUGGGACAGGAGAAUGAGGAAGUUAAGGCCAUCUUUUACUACAGUGUGACUUAAAGGUAGCCUGGGCUAGAUGAGAUGCUACCUCAAAAAACCAAAAAGUUUGGUAAGAAGAAAUCUGGGGCCUUGGCCUUCACAGACUCGCUAUCUCGUUUUUAUCACACUCUCAUUUCCUUUGUGUUCGUUUACAGUCAUGCCUUUCCUUGAUGUGCAGAAAAGGCUGGGCAUUAGCCUAGAUCGACACUUUAUAUUCCUAAGUGCUGAGCAGCCUUACAAGAAUGCCGCUCGAUGCCACGCAUUUGAAAAGGAGUGGAUAGAAUGCGCACAUG
Molecule: long non-coding RNA, 415 nt
Filed under: Rattus norvegicus (Norway rat)
Lineage: Eukaryota; Metazoa; Chordata; Mammalia; Rodentia; Muridae
Description: long non-coding RNA NONRATT023586
Source: RNAcentral